UCCCCGUUACCGGGGCAGUCUGACUAGAAAAAUACAACUAGCCAUAAGGGUUGCGCUCGUUGAUGGACUUAACCAAACAUCUCACGACACGAGCUGACGACGGCCAUGCAACACCUGUCUCUUGGUUCAAUAAAGCACUCACUCCUUUCGGAGUAAUUCCAAGGAUGUCAAGCCUGGGUAAGGUUCUUCGCUUACCGUCGAAUUAAACAACACGCUCCACCGCUUGUGCGGGUCCCCGUCAAUUCCUUUAUGUUUUAGUCUUGCGACCGUACUCCACAGGCGGGAUACUUAACGCGUUAGCUUCGCUACUGAAGGGGUCGAUACCUCCAACAGCUAGUAUCCAUCGUUUACGGCGUGGACUAC
This 363-nucleotide unclassified non-coding RNA is filed under the name uncultured bacterium. Its description in RNAcentral is "contains 16S-23S intergenic spacer region". The record is from RNAcentral.